CGCAGGGUUGCCAACACCCGGAUUGAGCCGACAAGGAACGCACUUUGUCCCGUGUUGCCGCGAGAACCAACACUAGUCUGUAAAACCUCAAUGGUUUCAGUUUGACAGCAUGACACAGGCUACGCCAAUCGAUGCCAGUGUGUUUGAUCAGUGUCUUCCAUCUUUCUCUACACGUUUUGCCUAGCUGUUUUAGCUAACUAGCCUGCUAGCUAGAAUGGUCCGCCUAGCUUCUCGUGUGACUUUUUCUGCCACAGUGACAAUUUGUUUUUAAAACAAACAAACAAUGCGGUUAGUUUGGAGCUCGUUUUUCUCCCAAGGGAAGUGGAUAUUACGUCUAUCGGGGGUCCAUUGCAGAAAGAAGUCGAGCUUAUCCUCUCUAUCGAUGUACCCCGGGACUGGGAACAUCCAGGGUGUAUUCCCCAAAGUGUGGAAACCCUGACAUGACGGGAAGUCUGGGUUUUCCGUUCCAAAAAGGAGAGAAACAGGCUCCAUGAAGGUGGCCUGAGGGUCCGACGUCCUGUAGUGGGCCCUGUGCUCACUGCCCAGCACCGUAGAGCUCGACUGGCAUUUGCCAUAGACCACCAGAAUUGGCAACUACACCACUGGUGCCCUGUGCUCUUCCCUGAUGAGAGCAAGUUCAACCUGAGCACAUGCGACAGACGUGAAAGGGUCUGGAGAUGCCGUGGAGAACGUUAUGCUGCCUGCAACAUCAUUCAGCAUGACCACUUUGGUGGUGGGUCAGUGAUGGUCUGGGGAGGCAUAUACCUGGAAGGACGCACAGACCUCUACAGGUUAGAUAACGGCACCCUGACUGCUAUUAGGUAUUGGGAUAAAAUCCUCAGACCCAUUGUCAGAACCUACGCUGGUGCAGUGGGACCUGGGUUCCUCCUGGUCCACGACAAUGCCCGACCUCAUGUGGAUAGUGUAUGCAGGUAGUUCCUGGAGGAUGAAGGAAUUGAUACUACUGACUGGCCCCCACGUUCACCUGACCUAAACCCAAUAGAACACCUCUGGGACAUUAUGUUUAGGUCCAUCCGGCGCCGCCAGGUUGCUCCUCAGACAUUGAUGCCCUGGUCCAGAUCUGGGAGGAGAUCCCCCAGGACACCAUCCGUAGUCUCAUUAGGAGCAUGCCCCCACGUUGUCAGGCAUGCGUACAAGCACGUGGGGGCCACACAAACGACUGAGAAUCAUUUUGAGUUGCUACAAUGACAUUUUAGCCAAAUGGACCAGUGUGCUGCAUCAUUUUUUCACUUUCAUUUUUGGGGUGUCUUUGAUUUCCCCCCUCUAUAGGGUGAUCAUUUUCAUUUCUAUCAAAUGAUGUGGCAUCAUUUUCUUACUAAUACAUCACCCACUUAUUAUCAGGAAACAUAUUCAACAUCAUUUUUCCCCCAGUUUAGAUCUGAUGUGUUUUUGAAGUGUUCCUCUCAUUUUUUUGAGCAGUAUAUAUAUAUAUAUAUAUAUAUAUAUAUGAUUAUAUAUGAUUAAAUAAUAAUAAUAUUAAUGUAAAUAUAAAUAAAUCAAUAAUAGCAAAAUAAUAUUUUAUUAUAAGUAAAAGUAUCAUAAGUAUUAUGUUAUUAUGUUACUCUAAAAUAAUUAAAUACAUAUGUGCAAUAAUGUAUGUAUUUAGAUUUAUAUAUUCAUUUAGUAUAUAUAUUUUAUUUUAUAAUAAACAGGAAGGUAAUAAAGUGACCAAGUAUGCCAAGGCAUGGCCAGAAUGCCAGAUUUUGUCUUUGUCAAAUUGUGUCUUUAUUUUAUGCGUAUACAUUUUAUGUGUUAUUAUUAUUAUUAGUGUUAAAUGAUCAUUUCCCUAUACAGCAUAUAUGACGUAUUUAGUGUUUUUCAUUAAGGGCAGCAUUUAUCACAGCACUUACAAAGCAGCCAAUCAGAUGAUCCAUUGAUCAUUUUGGUCGUCCCUAUUCUGCUCACAGCCACUAGGGGGCCCAUCGCCGCAAUAACCGUGUAUUGCUAUGAUAUGCUGUGAUGUGUCAACCAGCAUUAUUAAGUUCUUCCUUUGGUUUGUCAGCUUUGAACGCCCCUGAGUUAGAGGUGAAUUUAACUUGGUCAGAAGUGACCUUUCACCCUUCAUUGACUGAGUUUGUCGUGCUUAAACACACACACACACACACACACACACACACACACGUAGAGCAUUGCUUGGCAGACUUAUCAGAACGUCAUCUAUAUAUGAUAUACAUAACUCCAAUGAGGACAAUGAAUGCUGUCCUCUCCCACACUACGGAAGACUUUAAUCUGACCACACGGCAGCUGGGUGGCCUCCACCGAAGAGUCCGUCAAGAAGAGAGGUUAAGCCUGCUGGAAUGUUAACUCCAGCAACCACCAGCAUGUUGAAGAUGAAGACCCAAAGUACUGCUACCAUUUAUGGAACACAACCUCAGUCAUUGGAGUUGAUUUUUAUCCCUUUUUUACAAUUAUUUGUUGAAAAAAAUCAAUUUUUCCCACUUUAAAAUGUUUUAUAUUGUAAUAUUUAUUUAUUAUUGAAUUGAUAAUUUAGUAUAUUAUUGCUACAGUAAGGGCAUUUUGUCCACUUUUAACAUUUUUAUUGUAUUAUUUAUAGCCUAUAUUAUUUCACUGUUAUUUUAUUUUGGCCAUUUUUGGUAUUUAUUGAUGUGUUUUAUCACCAUUUUUUGUAUGGCUUUAAAAACAUUUGUAUCACUAUUCUAUUGUUCAAAUAUUAUUAUUUUUAUGUAUUUAUUUAGCAUUUUAUUGUUUGUUUAGCAUGUUCUAUUAAUAUUUUAUUAAAUAAACGCUGUAAAAGAGUCUUAUGUUGUCAUUAGUAGUUGUAUUAUUUAUAUAUUCUAUUAUAUUGAUAUUUAUUGCAUUUCAUACAGUAUCAGUUUUUGGCUUUUAAGAUCUUUAUUAUUAUUGUAUUAUUUAUAUAUAAUGAUUCAAAUUUGACUGUAUUUUCCACUAUUGUACUAAUUUUGGUGUAUAUUUAUUGCAUUUCUUACUGUAUUUGAUACAUUAAUUUGGCUUUUAUUGUUAUUUGAUUGAAAUUGUACUGUAUCAUGAUUAGGGUUAUGUAAACAACCAAAUCAAGAUUCAAGAGAGUUUUAUUGUCAUGUGCAUAGUAAAACAGCAGUUAUACUAUGCAGUGAAAAUCUUAUUCUGUUCAUUCUCCCAAGAAAAGAAAGAAAACACAAGAAAGAAUAAGAACAUAAGAAACAUAAACAUAUAUACCAAUAAAUUAAGCAACAACAACAGAAGAGACAUUGUUCAAGCACAGUGUGUGUGCGUGUGUUGCGUGCGGCGUGUGCGAGUGCUUCGUUGAGAAGCCUGAUGGCCUGUAGGUAAAAGCUGUUUGCCAGCCUUGUGGUCCUGGACUUCAAACUCCUGUAGCGUCUGCCUGACGGUAGGAGUGUGAAUAAUGAGUGUUGUGGAUGUGUGCUGUCCUUGAUGAGGUUGUGUGUUCUGCGUAGGACUCUAGUUUUAUAAAUGUCUUGCAGUGAGGGGAGGGCUGCCCCAACAAUGUUCUGUGGGGUCUUGAUCACCCGCUGGAGUGCCUUCCUAUCACGUGUUGUACAGUUACCGUACCAAACAGUGAUGGAGGCGGUAAGGACACUUUCCAUAGUGCAUCUGUAGAAGUGAAGUGAAAUGACAAGCUUUACCUACAGAACUUUGACCAUCUCUUCCACACAAAGAAAUGUGAAGCAUUUUUAAAGCUUAUCAGUACGAUAAGAUAAACUUAACGGGGAAAGUGUGACAGCAUGCAUUGGUACUUAUUGGGGGUGUCACGAGACGAUGCCGAUACACGAGCGGGGGUCUACGAGACGGGAUUUGAACUUUAUUUUUAAGGAAAGUACAAUGAAAAUGCAUUUGUCACAGAACAAUUGGCAGCAUUUCUGGAUAUGCCGGCUUUUCAACUGCAUUUCUUUUGCGAUGCAGCAAAGUACACAUUUUGUUUUGUUGUGUUUGUAGUUACUCAGUGAGUAUUGUCUCAGUGAGUGUUGACUGUCGGGACCAAAGCUCUGCACCUCCAUGUGUACUUUGUCACACAUGGGAAAAGUGAGUCGGUGGUUAUGUUUUCGAUGGGGAAGUUGGUUGCGUAGCCUUUUUGGUACCACCACAUUUCACAACAAAUUCAUGUUGAUUCAUGAUGAGCUCACCUUACUCCUUUGGUCUGAAGCCGGAAUAUUCCCACACGGGGGCAGUGGAAUUAUGCUUUGUGAUCAUCUUUUUCCCUCCUAGCUUCUGCUACGUUACCUUGCAUUGCUCCUCUCGAGGCUGCACUCUCCUGCUGUGUGUAUGCGGGUGGCCCCGCCUCCCCUCAGAGAGACAGACUGUAUGACUGACAAGAAGGCUCACUUUGUUCAAGCCAUUGUUUUAUGAAGCAAAUGCGUCCAGGGGCUGAAAACAAGCUGAGUGAACCCUCUUCAUGCCUGUAUGGAGGCGAGACAAGAGGAAAACAAACGCGUGUGAACAUGGCGAUAUAUCGAGGCCAGCAAAAUGAUCAAAUUCAUUUUCAUUUAUGGUGUGAUUUAUUCAUUUAGUUAUUACUGCGAGGCAGUUUUUUUUCUAAACGAGAAAUUUUGUCACGUUUUAAUCUCGUGACA
This is a long non-coding RNA of Dunckerocampus dactyliophorus (ringed pipefish), 4571 nucleotides long. RefSeq lists it as uncharacterized. The transcript has 3 exons. NCBI's taxonomy places the organism in Eukaryota, Metazoa, Chordata, Actinopteri, Syngnathiformes, Syngnathidae. The record is from RefSeq and is a predicted model, not a curated record.